GAGUUUGAUCGUGGCUCAGAUUGAACGCUGGCGGCAUGCCUUACACAUGCAAGUCGAACGGCAGCAUGAUCUAGCUUGCUAGAUUGAUGGCGAGUGGCGAACGGGUGAGUAAUACAUCGGAACGUGCCCUGUAGUGGGGGAUAACUAGUCGAAAGAUUAGCUAAUACCGCAUACACCUGAGGGUGAAAGUGGGGGACCGCAAGGCCUCAUGCUAUAGGAGCGGCCGAUGUCUGAUUAGCUAGUUGGUGGGGUAAAGGCCCACCAAGGCGACGAUCAGUAGCUGGUCUGAGAGGACGAUCAGCCACACUGGGACUGAGACACGGCCCAGACUCCUACGGGAGGCAGCAGUGGGGAAUUUUGGACAAUGGGCGAAAGCCUGAUCCAGCAAUGCCGCGUGUGUGAAGAAGGCCUCGG
Molecule: ribosomal RNA, 414 nt
Filed under: uncultured microorganism
Description: bacterial SSU rRNA
Rfam family: Bacterial small subunit ribosomal RNA
Source: RNAcentral